Long non-coding RNA from Junco hyemalis (dark-eyed junco), 421 nucleotides. The record is from Ensembl. Lineage: Eukaryota; Metazoa; Chordata; Aves; Passeriformes; Passerellidae.
GGAUUUUCCAGCCUCAGUCAUUUUGGAAUUCUAUGAACCAGCAAGAACAAUUAAUUAAUUAAUUAAUUAAUCCAGUUCUUUUUAGUAUGCUUCUGUCAGACAGGGUUUGAGCUUGGAUGGCCCAAAGAAGACCAUGGUGAGGAAGUUUGCUGACAGCACAAAGCUUGACAGUGCCCCAGUACAGAGAACACGUCACAAAUAGGAUGGAGUUUAACAGAGAGAAAUUCUUGCAGCAAGCAGGAUUUCUGCUGCAAACUCCAAACUCAGAAGGACAAAGGAAGAGAAAGGUUUGAGCAGACCAGCAGAUCUCCAGGCAGCUGGGAGCCCUGGGUGUGGCACGGCCACCUAACGGCAAACAGGAUUUUGGGCAGGAUGUAACAACUCACUGCUGCUCACUUUGCUUCUCUGCCUGCUCUUCACU